UUGUUCAGUGCAGUAGAAUUUAUGACAGAAGUAGAAGAAGUAGAAGAAGUAGAAGAUAUUGAGAAUCACCACAGGCAUCUUGUUGUAGUUUAUUAUUCUUGGAAUGGAAAUUGCGCUCUGUUGCUCUCCAAGGCUGUGUAUAGUAGACAUGCUAAAAUCACCUUCGGGCUAAAUUAAAGGAAAAAUUGGUUUAGAUUUUUGCAUGUUGACGGGGACUUCAUAGCCUACAACGUUAGCUUGCCUAUUUUUAUAGUUUUGUCAGAUACUCAGACUCAAUAAUUGAUUGAAAUAAAAAUACACAGUCGAUGGUCUAUAUUGUUGAUUAUUGAUAGGCUAUUUCAGAGAUAUUUUGAGAACAACAAUUGCUGUGAGAAAAAACAAACUGAUGUGCCUUGAUUGUGUAAUCCCCAACCAAAAAUAAGUUAUGUGAGAGUAGCCUAUAAAUAGCACGUGGAAUAUCAAAUAUUAAUUUAUUUAGAUGAGUAAAUGUUGAAGAGGUAAAAUAAAGCUAUUUUAAAUGAAUGAAUUAACCUUUGUCAAGUAAGAGCGCCAUGGAGAAGCUGUUGCGCACGCUGUUGUUGCGCACGCGAACCCAGGCAAAGAAGGGAGGGCAGAGCGAGCCAUGGUGAGCCAAUAAAAAGGCACCAGAGUCCUGCGAACGGUCGGCUUUGCUCGAGACAGUGUAAAACGGGACCAAUAUUUCUGUCGGACGCGUACUGUCUUCGAGUGUGCAAAGGACACACCAUCUCAUUGACUGCGCCUGUCCCUACAUAGGAAGACGAGACAUCCAGAAGGCGGUUGACUCUCCCCAUCCACUCCACCCUGAAUUCCAGCUCCUUCCCGCUGGCCGCAGGUAAAGACUACCUAAGCAGUGAGAGCUUAGGUAAGCUCCUCCACGACCUGUUCUGCCACAACACAACUCUACCCUUCUCCUCCAAUCACCCCUGGACUACACCAGCCACGGAGUAACAGCAACAAGAGAUUGCCGUGGGAGAGUCAGAGUUCUGCUCCUGGAAUACAAACAAGUCCUGUCUCUAUAACACCCCUCCUGCAUUUCUAAUCCACCGACUCUGAUGAGGAAGGGGGAAAAAAGUUUGCUUUCACCUCUGGCGAACAGUUUUGCCUGCAGUGCUGAAAAGGCGUUGUGUUUCCAGCUCAUUUGUUGGUUUAAUGAUGUCUCAACUGAACUAACACGUAGACCUACUGCGCUGUUCAGGAAUACAUAGCUACCUUGUAAUUGAACAACAAGGCCCAGAGUUCCGGAGUGUUCCGAGUGUGUCCGAGAUGGAUACACACGAAGCCUAAGAGGAAGAUACACAUGUGAAGGCUGUGCAGAAGCUGACGAGGGGGUGGGGGGGGGGGUUUCCUCUGGUAGAGCCUCCUCAUUCUGUAAACACACCAGGGGAUCUCAUCUGAGACAUCUGUGUGUCCACUCUCUCCGAGUCGACAAACUACUCCCUGCAUUCUCAUCAUAGCUGUUUUAGAUGGACUCAGACUCCAGUAGCCUCGCACCAGCGUGUCUCUAAGGAUCUCUCUACAUCUACCCAUACCUGUCUUUCCCUGUCCCCCCCCCUCUAUAUCACUUCUCUUCCCUAUACCUUUUAUUUACCUCCACCACACCCAUUCCUGUCACGUACUCUCUCCGUUUAAAUAAUUAACAAUGCUUGUGUGCCAAUGACACUUUCUGUCAGUGCGAUCCGAUUCCUGAAAGUCCCAGUGGAAGCAGUGACCUUUGGAGUGGGUCGUGCUGCUGGUGUGUGGGUCGUGCUGUUCCAGAUCUCUACCUCCCCCCUGGACCUGCUGGCCUGGCCCUGACUGUAAAUGUCACAGCGCUGGCUGUCCACGGCUGAAUCUUCCACAGGGUCAGAGGCUGUUUUCUCUUCUUCUACACAGGCCAGGUAUCUCUGUGGGAGCCGCGCUGUGUCCAAGUGGGACAGACGGUACUCUUCAGUCCCAGUCGACCGUUGACAGCUGCCUUCUGGGAUUUAGCGUUUUGGUCUGAUUAGAAAGAUUCUGUCCGACCCCGAGAGCUUGUUCCCAUUAUACUCAAGAGUUUUCAUUUAAAGACUUUGUUUGGUUUUUCUUCGUUUUGUCAUUACCCUCUUCACCCGAUUCAUAUAGUAGCUGGAGCCCAUGAUAAUUGCCUUUGGCUGAGAACGCGAUCACAGGUUCAUUUUACUCCCCAGUUUUAUGAUCUUACUCAAUCUCCCACUUGACAAUGACGUUUCACAGGGAUUAUGCAUAAAGCCAGGCACACCUUUUAAGUGUGUUCGCCACAGGAAGCCUCUACAAAACAUAUCCCUCCCUGGAGAGUAGCACACACUAAUCAACUGCAGUGAUUUUUUAAAACCAAAAUAAAAGCCAUUGGAUGGAGUGAAUACAGGGAAAGAAAGGGCAGAUGGUCCCCUGCACUAAAAGAUCAGUAAUAAAUGAAUAAAUCAUUUGGUGGAGUGGAGUGGAGGCAUCUGGCAGAUUGCUGAGGUAGUCCCUCCCCCUCUCUCUCUCUCUCUCUCUCUCUCUCUCUCUCUCCCUCUCUCUCUCUCCCUCUCUCUGUCACUCUCUCGCUCUCUAUCUCUCUG
This is a long non-coding RNA of Oncorhynchus kisutch (coho salmon), 2579 nucleotides long. RefSeq lists it as uncharacterized. Lineage: Eukaryota; Metazoa; Chordata; Actinopteri; Salmoniformes; Salmonidae. The transcript is spliced from 3 exons. The record is from RefSeq and is a predicted model, not a curated record.